This 871-nucleotide ribosomal RNA is filed under the name uncultured bacterium. RNAcentral's name for it is "bacterial SSU rRNA". It matches the Rfam family "Bacterial small subunit ribosomal RNA", at positions 42 to 907 of the family's 1533-position model. The record is from RNAcentral.
GCGNGCCUACACAUGCAAGUCGAGCGGUAACAGGCGUAGCAAUACGUGCUGACGAGCGGCGAACGGGUGAGUAAUGCUUCGGAAUCUACCCAGUAGUGGGGAAUAACCAGCCGAAAGGUUGGCUAAUACCGCAUACGUCCUACGGGAGAAAGCGGGGGAUCGCAAGACCUCGCGCUAUCGGAUGAGCCGAAGCCGGAUUAGCUAGUUGGUGGGGUAACGGCCUACCAAGGCGACGAUCCGUAGCUGGUCUGAGAGGACGACCAGCCACACUGGGACUGAGACACGGCCCAGACUCCUACGGGAGGCAGCAGUGGGGAAUAUUGGACAAUGGGGGAAACCCUGAUCCAGCGACGCCGCGUGUGUGAAGAAGGCCUGCGGGUUGUAAAGCACUUUUAGUGGGGAUGAAAAGUGCAGAGCUAACACCUCUGCAUCUUGACCUAACCUACAGAAAAAGCACCGGCUAACUCUGUGCCAGCAGCCGCGGUAAUACAGAGGGUGCGAGCGUUAAUCGGAAUUACUGGGCGUAAAGCGUGCGUAGACGGUCAUGUAAGUCGGGUGUGAAAGCCCCGGGCUCAACCUGGGAAUUGCAUUCGAGACUGCAUGGCUAGGGUGCGGAAGAGGGAAGCGGAAUUUCCGGUGUAGCGGUGAAAUGCGUAGAUAUCGGAAGGAACACCAGUGGCGAAAGCGGCUUCCUGGUCCGACACCGACGUUCAGGCACGAAAGCGUGGGGAGCAAACAGGAUUAGAUACCUGGUAGUCCACGCCAUAAACGAUGAGAACUAGACGUUGAGGGGGUAAGCCUCUCAGUGUCGUAGCUAACGCGCUAAGUUCUCCGCCUGGGGGAGUACGGCCGCAAGGUUGAAACUCAAAGG